This 753-nucleotide small RNA is filed under the name Pongo abelii (Sumatran orangutan). RNAcentral's name for it is "retained intron". Lineage: Eukaryota; Metazoa; Chordata; Mammalia; Primates; Hominidae. The record is from RNAcentral.
GGUUUCCCGGUUCCCCUUUGGUUAAUGCGCAACUGUUUCAGAUUGCAGGAGGAGAUGCUUCAGAGAGAGGAAGCCGAGAACACCCUGCAAUCUUUCAGACAGGAUGUUGACAACGCGUCUCUGGCACGUCUUGACCUUGAACGCAAAGUGGAAUCUUUGCAAGAAGAGAUUGCCUUUUUGAAGAAACUCCACGAAGAGGAAAUCCAGGAGCUGCAGGCUCAGAUUCAGGAACAGCAUGUCCAAAUUGAUGUGGAUGUUUCCAAGCCUGACCUCACGGCUGCCCUGCGUGACGUUCGUCAGCAAUAUGAAAGCGUGGCUGCCAAGAACCUGCAGGAGGCAGAAGAAUGGUACAAGUCCAAGUUUGCUGACCUCUCUGAGGCUGCCAACCGGAACAAUGACGCCCUGCGCCAGGCAAAGCAGGAGUCCACUGAGUACCGGAGACAGGUGCAGUCCCUCACCUGUGAAGUGGAUGCCCUUAAAGGAACCGUGAGUACCAACUCUGCAGUAAAAGAGGGAAAAUAAUGAUCCAUUCUGCUGACUAAGCUCAUGGUGAUACCUGAACAAAAUGUUGAGUGAGUAAAAAUUUAUACCAUAAUGCAAAGAAAAUGAGUUAUCAAGACAGACUCAAAAGGGACUUGAUGGAACUCCUGAAGGUUUUAGCUUGCAUAUAUCAUUGCUUCUAAUAUGAAGGACUUGGUACUUGCAUUCUCCACCUAAAAUUAGAGUGGUCACCAUUUGCCGCUAAUGGAAAUU